UAGGUCAGGUGUGUAAGUACAGCAAUGUAUUGAGCUAACUGAUACUAAUGAUCCGUGCGGCUUGACCAUA
Molecule: ribosomal RNA, 70 nt
Filed under: Stenotrophomonas maltophilia
Lineage: Bacteria; Pseudomonadati; Pseudomonadota; Gammaproteobacteria; Lysobacterales; Lysobacteraceae
Description: partial 23S rRNA. Bacterial LSU
Source: RNAcentral